AAAAAUGUAGUUAAUUUAAGAUAUUCAAUUUCGACUUGGAAGAAGAUAAAUAUUUGUCCAUUUUUA
RNAcentral lists this transfer RNA (66 nucleotides) under Anastatus shichengensis. Its description in RNAcentral is "tRNA-Arg". Lineage: Eukaryota; Metazoa; Arthropoda; Insecta; Hymenoptera; Eupelmidae. The record is from RNAcentral.